CAUGUCCUAAUUCUCACUGUCUUGUAGCCUUAAGAACUCCUUAAAGGUGCCUCACUUUCUGUUCUCGUUGCAGUGUUAACUUUGCCAUCCAUGGAAGAGGAAUCUAUGUUCUAGUACCUUGGUCCUUGCCUUGUUCCCGUGCCUCGUUUCAUGACUUCCAAGCCGAGUUCAUGCCUUGUGACUCUCGAGUAUACCUUGCCUUGCUAACCUCGGUUCUACGAUUCCUUGGUGGUUGCUUUCCAUGUGGAGUACAGUUUGUGGAUUUCCAGCAUCUUGUUCCUGUUCCUUGCGACUUCUGGCUGAUCCUGUUUGGACGGUGUUUACAGACUAACUCUAGCUUCUUGGUGGAACUAACGUGUUCCAUUUGUGGAUUACAAUAUUGAAGGGCUUUAUUGGACUUGCUUCUGAACAGUUAAGGACAUUAUAUUAUGGACUAUUUGUCAGAGUAAUUUGCAGCACAGCAGUAGAUGGAGUCAGUGGAAUAGAUGCUAUUUGCUUCUGAACAGUUAAGGACAUUAUAUUAUGGACUAUUUGUCAGAGUAAUUUGCAGCACAGCAGUAGAUGGAGUCAGUGGAAUAGAGAACGAAGAGACAUCAGAGAUGAUGGUAAAACUUCAAUAUAUAUAUAUGGUCAUUUCAUAUAUAUAUGAAAAAAAAAGAAAACAUGUCAAUGUGAGUAGAUCAAUAGGGAAGGUAAGGAUGCUCCAUGCAGUCAUGCCAAUGGGCACAUGACCUUGGGGGUGUCUAUGGACAACGCUGGCUCUUCGGCUUAUAAAAAGGAGAUGGGCACCAACCCCGAGAGUCAGACAGGACUGGACUUAACGUCAGGGGAAAACCUUAUGAAGCCGGAAGGGAAAAAAAUUGCUUCUUCUCCCACUAACUUCCUUUUCUGCACUAAACAUAUUGCUCUUUUGUUGUAGAUUUCGGAUUUUGUUUUGUUUCCCUUUUUUGCAGUUCGGAAGACUUUGGUGGCAUUGGGAAUGGAGAAGGAGAACCUUGUAUUGACUCCGAGGACUUUUUGAUGUUUAGCCCAGGUUCAAGUGGAAGUGAAAAAAAAGAGAGAAAGAGAGAGACAGACACACAUGACAAGUUGUUUUUGAUCUUGCUCCCUGUUCGAAGGAAGUAGGAUCAGGACCUCCAGCUUACUUCUUAAGAGCAAAGGGGAGAAACUGGUCCAGAUAAUUUCACAGGUGAAACGGUUUUUCCCUCCAAGGAGUAGCACAGACUAACAAGGCACCUUAAACUUGCGUGGCACCCUUUGAAAAACCGCAGAGUUCAAAAGUCUGAAGCUCUCCAAGUUCCUAAGGAAGAUGAAAAAGGAGAAAAUAAAAUAGAACAACGGAGGUGGGAGGCAGAUGACAACAAGAGGUUGUUUUCCCUUAACCUCGCUGUGACCAAGCCGGGCAGGAUAAAAUGCACGGUCACAUGGCAGAUCGAAGGAAAAUCCUCGAAGACUGCAAUUACCAUGGAGGAGUGAUGGUCAUAAAAGCCGGUAUUAAGAGAUUUCAAACCAUUCUUGUGUGAUACCUACAUACUCUUUUCCCAUGCGAAUGAUCUUGUGAUAGCAAAUGUUAUGCUCAACUGGAUUCAACGAUGCCUCAACGCCCAUCCAAUAAAUUAGUCAAACCCAACCAAUAAAUACAUGAACAGGUGUGUCAUAACUGAUAUCGCAUUCGGCAAAAGUGUAUUUUAAGUUUAUACAACUGAAAUAAUGAUGGCGAGACAGUGUGAUAUAAUGGUGAUGGAUUAACUGAAUUGAAUUGCAAGAGUCUAUUUUGCCAUAUAGUCCAGUUCAAUGCAAAUAAUCUGCAUUCUGAAACUGGAUUAUAUGGCAGUGUAGAUCCAGCCUCAGAGACUAGGGUUCAAAACCCUACUGGGAACCUCCUUGGUGGUCUUGGGCAUGUUACACACUCUCAGCCUCAGAGGAAAGCAAAGGCAAUGCCUCUCUGAAUGAAUCUUGCCAAGAAAACACCAAGAUGGGUUAAUCUUAAGGUUACCAGAUGUUGGAGAUGUUGUGAAGGCACCCAGCAGAAACAUAUGAUAGAACGUUGUUGUUCUGUGCCCAACCUAUUUUUUUUUUUUUUUGGCAAUAUUGAACCAGAGAAUUGUUGUUGCCUCUAAAACCCAUGGAAUCCUUGUCCAAUACUCCUAUCCUGCAACAGUUGGACCAACCAAUAGUAUAGCUGUUGUACAACAGUCAAUCCAACUUCUCAUUCGUAAUGAAGG
Long non-coding RNA from Anolis carolinensis (green anole), 2225 nucleotides. The record is from Ensembl. NCBI's taxonomy places the organism in Eukaryota, Metazoa, Chordata, Lepidosauria, Squamata, Anolidae.